AAUAGAUACCCCGGUAGUCCACGCCGUAAACGGUGGGCACUAGGUGUGGGCGACAUUCCACGUCGUCCGUGCCGCAGCUAACGCAUUAAGUGCCCCCGCCUGGGGAGUACGGCCGCAAGGCUAAAACUCAAAGGAAUUGACGGGGGGCCCGCACAAGCGGCGGAGCAUGUGGCUUAAUUCGACGCGACGCGAAGAACCUUACCAAGGCUUGACAUACACCGGAAACGUCCAGAGAUGGCGCCCCCUUGUGGUCGGUGUACAGGUGGUGCAUGGCUGUCGUCAGCUCGUGUCGUGAGAUGUUGGGUUAAGUCCCGCAACGAGCGCAACCCUUGUCCCGUGUUGCCAGCAGGCCCUUGUGGUGCUGGGGACUCACGGGAGACCGCCGGGGUCAACUCGGAGGAAGGUGGGGACGACGUCAAGUCAUCAUGCCCCUUAUGUCUUGGGCUGCACACGUGCUACAAUGGCCGGUACAAUGAGCUGCGAUACCGCGAGGUGGAGCGAAUCUCAAAAAGCCGGUCUCAGUUCGGAUUGGGGUCUGCAAC
RNAcentral lists this ribosomal RNA (542 nucleotides) under uncultured bacterium. RNAcentral's name for it is "bacterial SSU rRNA". It matches the Rfam family "Bacterial small subunit ribosomal RNA", at positions 777 to 1311 of the family's 1533-position model. The record is from RNAcentral.